UACGUAGGGGGCUAGCGCUGUCCGGAAUCAUUGGGCGUAAAGAGCGUGUAGGCGGUCCGGUAAGUCCGCUGUGAAAGUCGGGGGCUCAACCCUCGAAUGCCGGUGGAUACUGUCGGGCUAGAGUGCGGAAGAGGCGAGUGGAAUUCCUGGUGUAGCGGUGAAAUGCGCAGAUAUCAGGAGGAACACCUAUUGCGAAGGCAGCUCGCUGGGACGUUACUGACGCUGAGACGCGAAAGCGUGGGGAGCAAACAGG
RNAcentral lists this ribosomal RNA (253 nucleotides) under uncultured bacterium. RNAcentral's name for it is "partial 16S ribosomal RNA". It matches the Rfam family "Bacterial small subunit ribosomal RNA", at positions 524 to 776 of the family's 1533-position model. The record is from RNAcentral.